This 722-nucleotide ribosomal RNA is filed under the name uncultured bacterium. Its description in RNAcentral is "bacterial SSU rRNA". It matches the Rfam family "Bacterial small subunit ribosomal RNA", at positions 184 to 907 of the family's 1533-position model. The record is from RNAcentral.
AGGGGAGUCCCUUGGGAAAGAAACCUCCGGGGCACGAAGAGGGGCUCGCGGCCUAUCAGCUAGUUGGCGGGGUAAUGGCCCACCAAGGCGACGACGGGUAGCUGGUCUGAGAGGAUGGCCAGCCACAUUGGGACUGAGAUACGGCCCAGACUCCUACGGGAGGCAGCAGUGGGGAAUAUUGCGCAAUGGCCGCAAGGCUGACGCAGCGACGCCGCGUGUGGGAUGACGCCUUUCGGGGUGUAAACCACUGUUGCCCGGGACGAACAACUGGUUUCGACCAGUCUGACGGUACCGGGUGAGGAAGCACCGGCUAACUCCGUGCCAGCAGCCGCGGUAAUACGGAGGGUGCGAGCGUUGUCCGGAAUCAUUGGGCGUAAAGGGCGCGUAGGUGGCCCGGUAAGCGUGCGGUGAAAGCUCGGGGCUCAACCCCGAGUCGGCCGUGCGAACUGCUGGGCUUGAGCACUGUAGAGGCAGGCGGAAUUCCGGGUGUAGCGGUGGAAUGCGUAGAGAUCCGGAAGAACACCGGUGGCGAAGGCGGCCUGCUGGGCAGUAGCUGACACUGAGGCGCGACAGCGUGGGGAGCAAACAGGAUUAGAUACCCUGGUAGUCCACGCCGUAAACGAUGGGCACUAGGCGCUUGGGGGAGCGACCCCCCGAGGGCCGACGCUAACGCAUUAAGUGCCCCGCCUGGGGAGUACGACCGCAAGGUUGAAACUCAAAGG